CCUUAUAAAAGCAAACCAACUAAAAAAACAAAAAUUAAAAUGGACUUAAAAAUACAUAUAGAUUGAAGAUAUCUUCAGUAAAAAAUGAAUCAACUUAUAAUUGACCUAUAAAUCAUCAAUAUACAUAAUGAGUUAUGAGUCUAACACUGUGGGUAUAUAAGAGUAAGACGGCAGACAAAACAUGUAGCACUUGUCCUAUAUAUCUUCAAAGGUUGAAUUCUCCGACAACGUAUUUUCAAACUCUUCUGGGGAAGAAUCGAUGUGCCAGAGAGAAAAUGACACUAACCGUACUUCUUCGAAGUGUUGAGAUCCGAUCACAUUUUAUUCUUCUUCUUCUUUUCCUAAUAAACAUUGCGUUAUCUUCUGUUCUAUAUCUUGCACAGACAGUGUCGAAAAUACCUGAAAUGAAAUUUAAUGUUCAAAAACACUAGAAUGUUAAAAUAGAAGAAUAGUAUGUAUUUUUGACUUGCGGUAUCAGCAAGGUAUUAAAAUAUAUAUACAAAAUGGUAUAGCAGAAAUAAUACACUUUGAAGCCAUCUUCUCACUUGUAACUGAAAAUAAAAUUUUGUUGGGUGUAUGUUAUUCUUUAUAAACCUCCCACAUAAAAAAAAAAAUAAUAAUAAUUCAAGUUGUGAUAUUUGAGGGGCUCAGGUUCCUGACUUUCGGAUCACAUCUUAAUCUAGUGGUAGAAAUCCAUCAACUUAAUUAUUUGAAGGUACACCAACCCUUAAUUUAUCAAAAAUACAAGAAAAUAACUAAGAACAGAGCAGCUCGCGUAUUAAAUUAAAUUGCGCAAACAUAGGUCAGUGGACCUACACACAUAUGACCUGACUACUAACUAAAGGAAAUUAAACAAAUAAAGUUUCGGCAACUUACUGAAGCAAAGCAACUUUAGGUGGGAAGAAGAGGUUGUCUUUCAUCAGGUCCCACACGAUGAC
This 938-nucleotide long non-coding RNA is filed under the name Salvia miltiorrhiza (redroot sage). RNAcentral describes it as "long non-coding RNA (SMIL_LNC008751)". Lineage: Eukaryota; Viridiplantae; Streptophyta; Magnoliopsida; Lamiales; Lamiaceae. The record is from RNAcentral.